UACGGGGGGGGCAAGCGUUGUUCGGAAUUACUGGGCGUAAAGGGUUCGUAGGUGGCCCGCUAAGUCACACGUGAAAUCCCUCAGCUCAACUGGGGAACUGCGUGUGAGACUGGCAGGCUUGAGUGCAGGAGAGGAACGCGGAAUUCCAGGUGUAGCGGUGAAAUGCGUAGAUAUCUGGAGGAACACCGGUGGCGAAGGCGGCGUUCUGGACUGUAUCUGACACUGAGGAACGAAAGCCAGGGGAGCAAACGGG
This 253-nucleotide ribosomal RNA is filed under the name uncultured bacterium. RNAcentral's name for it is "partial 16S ribosomal RNA". It matches the Rfam family "Bacterial small subunit ribosomal RNA", at positions 524 to 776 of the family's 1533-position model. RNAcentral also lists the same sequence under 1 other name. The record is from RNAcentral.